AUUCAGCUGACCAGUCCCAAAUAGGAUGAAACACGUGUUUUAAAU
This is a non-coding RNA of Schistosoma mattheei, 45 nucleotides long. The record is from Rfam. Lineage: Eukaryota; Metazoa; Platyhelminthes; Trematoda; Strigeidida; Schistosomatidae.